Long non-coding RNA from Prosopis cineraria, 1299 nucleotides. RefSeq lists it as uncharacterized. NCBI's taxonomy places the organism in Eukaryota, Viridiplantae, Streptophyta, Magnoliopsida, Fabales, Fabaceae. The record is from RefSeq and is a predicted model, not a curated record. The transcript has 4 exons.
AUUCGGUAGUCGGGUUAGCCCUUUUUUUUUUUUUGGAAAAAUGUUUAAUCUCUUAAUUUCGACUUUAAGUUAUUUUGAGCUUCCUUAAAUUCGUGUUAAAAAGGAGUAAAAGUCAAUUUUGUUCUUAAACUAGGAGUUUGAAAUCUAAAUUCUUUUUUGGUAUAGUUUUUUUUUCCCUAAUUUUUAAAAACGGUGUAACGUAUGUAGUCGUAGUCCUAGCCUCCUCUGGCCUCCUUUUGAUUCGGACAAACCUUUGGGAUCGACGAAUGGAGGCAACUCUGGCAUACGAUUGGCUUAACAUCUCCUCUGCAUAACCCCCAUCGUUUUAACUUUCUGGUGGUUUUGUCGGUGAGGGAGAUUAUUGUAGAAACCAUGCAGUCAAUUUGAGCGUUGGAAGCGAGAUCCGAGAGAAGGAUAUUAAGGUUGGCUUGGUACGUACUUGUCUAUGUAUUGUUGCCAUUGAAAUCGAAGCAUCUGUAAAAUCUGAAGUUAGGAGGCUGAGCGGUGAGGGAGGUGAGAUGAGAAAUGAACGAAAGCAGAACCAGAGAAAAGGUUAACAUUGCAGUUUGCAGGUCAGAUCAGACUGGUUGGUGAAGACGAGCUUCGUUCAAAAUAAAUGGAGGAAGGUGUAUAGGUUUGAGGAAUUGAGGCAUGACCUGCGUCAAUUUCAGCAUUACGAAGGAAGGUGGAAUUAAUGGGACUGAAAUGGUAGAAAACCAAAGAGGUACACAGUAACGGUAGCUGUCACAAGCACAACGAGAGGAAGUUUCUAGUGCUUAUUCUGACCCUAAACAUACUCAACUUGUAAAGAAUAAGCAAAUACUUGCCUUGCAUCCACCUCUUAAGUAUAAGUUGUUUUGAGACCAGUGGGAUGUGACUGAUGGUGGUAGAAGACAAAACGAAGCACACCGUAUUGGCAGCUGUCUUUGGCACGAGGUGGGGUUUCUACUUUUGCCGACUUGCUCUUCUUGUUGCCCGAAAAGGCAGAAGAUUUAAGAGUCAAUUUGGUACAUCAUCUCUGACCCGACAGAGACAGAUAUAGGAGGCAAUACAAUUGAAUCAUCAAGGCAGCCACCAUGUAAAAGAAGGUUCUUAUCAAAUGAAGAAUGUGUCGCCAUUUGUAAGAUUUUGUUACACUCAAGUUGUGGAGGUAAAUUGAGCAGCAUUGCAAUAAGAGAAAUAGCUUUAGCAUACUCAGUUUCAAUAAGAGUGAUUCAAAAUAUUUGGAAUCAAGUUAAGGAAAUAGGUGAUGCAACUCAUAGAAAGAUAAAUAGGUGUGGAAGAAAGGGACAUAAUGUG